AUGCUCACUUCAGUAGCAUAUAUACUAAUAUUGGAACAAUAUAGAGAUUAGCAUGGCCCCUGUGCAAGGAUGAGACACACAUUCAUGAUGAAUUCCAUAUUUUU
Grammomys surdaster is the source of this 104-nucleotide small nuclear RNA. Lineage: Eukaryota; Metazoa; Chordata; Mammalia; Rodentia; Muridae. The record is from RefSeq and is a predicted model, not a curated record.